Molecule: long non-coding RNA, 2393 nt
Organism: Ictidomys tridecemlineatus (thirteen-lined ground squirrel)
Lineage: Eukaryota; Metazoa; Chordata; Mammalia; Rodentia; Sciuridae
Source: RefSeq, a predicted model, not a curated record
CUCAGUUUUUAAUUUUUAUUUUAACACAGGGUCUUGCUAAGUUACUGAGGCUGGCCUUCACCGCUCGUCUAUCCAGUUCAGGGAUUACAGAUGUGCACCGCUGCGCCUAGCUGGGCAGAAUACAUUCAGCCGUUUUUCAGUCUCCCAAAGCUGGACAGAAAACAUGAAGCAGCUAUUUGAGAACCCUGAAAAGUAAACAUAAGAAGGCAGAAUGGGGAAGAAGACCAUAAUUUGAAGAUCCACCAAACUAAAGUCUACAGGAAAUCUUAUGUUGCCAGCAGAAGUAAAAGCAAUGGAACUCACAGGAGCCAGAACUCCAAAGGAAGAAAACUUUCUCACAGAUAUGAGGAGCUGUAUUCCCCUGGGGGAAGGGUGAACCUCACUGCUUUACUCCUCUUUCUAUCCUCCACAUCAUCUAGCUCCAGAUGCAGGCAGCCAUGAGAAGUACAUGGCAGAGCAGGAUAACUAAAGUCUGAAGUUUUCUUCCCAGAGGACCAAAGAGAGAAGCCCCAGGGAAUCAGAAGAUAGGAGGAAGUUAAAGAUGGAGGUAAAUAAGACUGGAAAAGAAAUCACAUUUGAUAGUUAAACUCUGAGAAUGAAACUUUUUUUCCUUUUAGCAGUGGGUAGAGGAGUAAAUGUGAUAGAGAAAUGUCUUUGCUAUUCACACAGAAUUUUGAAAGUGCAGUUGGGGCUGUAUAUACUCGCUUAGCUACAGACUGAAAUAGGUUUUAUAUUUACUCUAAGAAGGGUCUGAGGACGAUGUGGCUUUCUCUGAGGUAUAAGAACAGGAUAGGGAACUAUCUGCAUGUGUGUAUGUAUGUGAAUCUUCUUUCUAACAAAUGUUUGCACAUUUGGCAGAAUGUACAACUACUUAUACUUUCAUUUUAACAAACUCAGAGGUAAGGGUAUAGCUGAGAAGGUAUACAGCUCCCCCUGCUAAUAUAUGGGGGCCACCAAUAUUUACCAAAAAACAAGAAUAAAAGAAACCCAAGUAAACACCAGGUUGUACACCAACAGGGAGAGUGGAGAGUCUCAGCUCCACAGGGAGCAUACUUGUAAAAAGGAAAAUAAUCCUCCCUCUUUACUACUUCCAUAAGCUUUGAGGGGAAAGAUAUGCUUAACAUUUAAAAUGAAGACGAUAUGUUUCAAAAAGACAGAAUUAGAUGAUUUUAGUGACUGAAAGCAGCUAAUAGUGAUGAAACAAAGGCAAAGAAAAAGGUAUAAAGGAGAUUUCAAGGGAACUUCCUUCCCAAUAGGAAAGAGGAGUUUGAAAGGGCACAGCUAGUUACAGUUAUUGCAAAAGUUACAACUUUUUCACAUUAUACCUUGAGAACUGAGGCAUCUCAAAUUAAUAUGCAAAUGUUGGCUCAUGUAAUUUUUUUUCUCCUUUAAAAAAUAAGCAAUAAACUCACAGUGGAGCAGAGGUUAUGUUAGAAACAGGGUCACCAUGGUCAGAUGUUUCUUUGUAUUUUUUCAUAAUACUUUGUUUAACCUUUGCUCAUCAUCAUUCAUGGCUAUGUGGGUGGUAGAAUUAUGGGCCACUAUGCUUUCUAUUUCACUACCAUAUAAAUAUGUAUAUUCAUUCACACACAUAUACAUCCCUAAUUUUCAAAAGAAUUCAAAAGCAUUUAUUAAGAAUUCUCUUUUUUUCCUCAAAUCAGAUAUGGUACCCUCAGUAUCACUGAGACUAUAAAGAACACAAAUCUGUUUAAAACUGCUGCAGUAAACAGAAUGAAUGUUUGCACUUAGAUAAGAACCUAUUAUCAUUUUAAUAUAAAUGCAUUGAGUUAUAUAGAAUUUAGAUUUUAAAAAGCAUUUUUGAUUUGUUUUUGAAAAGGAAAUCAAAGAACUAUUCAAAAGGGAGAAUUUAAGAUACUUUUUAAAGCAAACAUGCACUAUGGAUAUAUUACUCAGAACAAUUAUUCUUUUACUGCUAAUGAGGUUCCUGUCAAAAUAAAAUGCUUGAAAUUAGAAAUUGCCAUUCCUUUCUCUUUGCCAAUGUUAUCACUUAUACUACCAUUAGGUGGCGAUACAAAAUUAGUAUUCUAAUUAAUUUAGGUUGUUCAAAGCAAGUAGCAAAUACUUUUCAUAUACUUACAAGUAAAAUAUGCUCAAAGUAUCUCUUCAAUGGAUUUUAGGGUAAUAAGGGAAGUAUUUCAUUUUUUUUCCUGGAUUUUAAUUCAUAUCACUAAACCAGUUGAAUCAGAGGUUAGCAACAGUUGGACUUUUGACUGCAUGUUUCACAUGCUAAGAAAAAAUAAUAAUAGCAUUCAUAAAUCAUAAUGGUUAUUUUGUGUUUUUGUAAACUCUCAAACCCGCAAGCAUAUUGUUCCAGCUCCAUUUAUUUGUUUUGAUUAUGUUGAUAUUAAUAACAACCAAUCUUUAAAAGAGAG